UGACUUCACAGCCAAGUCUCUCCAUUUUCCCGCAUUCUCUUUCAUCUCUUUGCUCUUCUCUCCUUCCAUCACUUCCUUGAUGCUAAACUCAAUCUCCUCUCUUUUGCAAAUGCCACUUUCUUUCUCUGCUUUCACACGAACCCCAACCUUCCAUACAUCUUGUAUAUACUUUGCAUUCAUUGGUUGAUCAGUCCAUUGAGGCAUAGCCACCAUGGGAACCCCUAAACUCAAACCCUCCAUGGUUGAGUUCCAGCCACAGUGAGUCAUGAAACAACCGAUGGCUUUGUUUGACAGAACUUGAAGCUGAGGACUCCACUUCAAGACCAAGCUCUUGUCUUUAUCCACUGUUUCAAGAA
Molecule: long non-coding RNA, 356 nt
Organism: Arabidopsis thaliana (thale cress)
Lineage: Eukaryota; Viridiplantae; Streptophyta; Magnoliopsida; Brassicales; Brassicaceae
Product: other RNA
Exons: 1
Source: RefSeq